GACGAACGUUGGCGGCGUGCUUAACACAUGCAAGUCGAACGGAAAGGCCCUGCUUUUGUGGGGUGCUCGAGUGGCGAACGGGUGAGUAACACGUGAGUAACCUGCCCUUGACUUUGGGAUAACUUCUGGAAACUGGGGCUAAUACCGGAUAGGAGCUCCUGCUGCAUGGUGGGGGUUGGAAAGUUUCGGCGGUUGGGGAUGGACUCGCGGCUUAUCAGCUUGUUGGUGGGGUAGUGGCUUACCAAGGCUUUGACGGGUAGCCGGCCUGAGAGGGUGACCGGCCACAUUGGGACUGAGAUACGGCCCAGACUCCUACGGGAGGCAGCAGUGGGGAAUAUUGCACAAUGGGCGGAAGCCUGAUGCAGCAACGCCGCGUGCGGGAUGACGGCCUUCGGGUUGUAAACCGCUUUCGCCUGUGACGAAGCGUGAGUGACGGUAAUGGGUAAAGAAGCACCGGCUAACUACGUGCCAGCAGCCGCGGUGAUACGUAGGGUGCGAGCGUUGUCCGGAUUUAUUGGGCGUAAAGGGCUCGUAGGUGGUUGAUCGCGUCGGAAGUGUAAUCUUGGGGCUUAACCCUGAGCGUGCUUUCGAUACGGGUUGACUUGAGGAAGGUAGGGGAGAAUGGAAUUCCUGGUGGAGCGGUGGAAUGCGCAGAUAUCAGGAGGAACACCAGUGGCGAAGGCGGUUCUCUGGGCCUUUCCUGACGCUGAGGAGCGAAAGCGUGGGGAGCGAACAGGCUUAGAUACCCUGGUAGUCCACGCUGUAAACGGUGGGUACUAGGUGUGGGGUCCAUUCCACGGGUUCCGUGCCGUAGCUAACGCUUUAAGUACCCCGCCUGGGGAGUACGGCCGCAAGGCUAAAACUCAAAGGAAUUGACGGGGCCCCGCACAAGCGGCGGAGCAUGCGGAUUAAUUCGAUGCAACGCGUAGAACCUUACCUGGGUUUGACAUGGAUCGGGAGUGCUCAGAGAUGGGUGUGCCUCUUUUGGGGUCGGUUCACAGGUGGUGCAUGCCUGUCGUCAGCUCGUGUCGUGAGAUGUUGGGUUAAGUCCCGCAACGAGCGCAACCCUUGUUCACUGUUGCCAGCACGUUAUGGUGGGGACUCAGUGGAGACCGCCGGGGUCAACUCGGAGGAAGGUGGGGAUGACGUCAAGUCCUCAUGCCCCUUAUGUCCAGGGCUUCACGCAUGCUACAAUGGCUGGUACAGAGAGUGGCGAGCCUGUGAGGGUGAGCGAAUCUCGGAAAGCCGGUCUCAGUUCGGAUUGGGGUCUGCAACUCGACCUCAUGAAGUCGGAGUCGCUAGUAAUCGCAGAUCAGCAACGCUGCGGUGAAUACGUUCCCGGGGCU
Molecule: ribosomal RNA, 1346 nt
Filed under: uncultured bacterium
Lineage: Bacteria
Description: bacterial SSU rRNA
Rfam family: Bacterial small subunit ribosomal RNA
Source: RNAcentral